AGUUCGUGGAGUGAUCUGUCUGCUUAAUUGCGUUUCACUAAGGAUCUAUAUUCAUAUUACGCAUAGCAUUUUGACCCCUUUAUGCUUCGGUAUAAAGCUGCGCGUCAAACCUUGCUAUCUGCGUAUAUUAGAUCCUGAAAGCAACGAACGUGACCGCAACCUCUUGUUGCCUUUAACUAGGUUUUGCUUACGUAUAGCUUCGGCUUUACGCUUUGCAUCUAAAAAGGCUGAUUUUCUAAACUAGAGGGACCGCUGUUACUUUCUUAAACCAGAGGAAGGUUGCGGCAAUAACAGGUC
Molecule: ribosomal RNA, 297 nt
Filed under: Foraminifera sp.
Lineage: Eukaryota; Foraminifera
Description: partial small subunit ribosomal RNA
Source: RNAcentral